RNA transcript from Oncorhynchus keta (chum salmon), 2832 nucleotides. It is a transcript of the gene named phospholysine phosphohistidine inorganic pyrophosphate phosphatase-like, with no coding region annotated. NCBI's taxonomy places the organism in Eukaryota, Metazoa, Chordata, Actinopteri, Salmoniformes, Salmonidae. The record is from RefSeq and is a predicted model, not a curated record. The transcript is spliced from 9 exons.
AUGUAGAAGCUGAGGUCGUUGUGUUUCUCUCCAUCAGUAUGCCUGUGAUGUAGAAGCUGAGGUGGUUGUGUUUCUCUCCAUCAGUAUGCCUGUGAUGUAGAAGCUGAGGUCGUUGUGUUUCUCUCCAUCAGUAUGCCUGUGAUGUAGAAGCUGAGGUGGUUGUGUUUCUCCAUCAGUAUGCCUGUGAUGUAGAAGCUGAGGUCGUUGUGUUUCUCCAUCAGUAUGCCUGUGAUGUAGAAGCUGAGGUGGUUGUGUUUCUCUCCAUCAGUAUGCCUGUGAUGUAGAAGCUGAGGUCGUUGUGUUUCUCUCCAUCAGUAUGCCUGUGAUGUAGAAGCUGAGGUCGUUGUGUUUCUCUCCAUCAGUAUGCCUGUGAUGUAGAAGCUGAGGUCGUUGUGUUUCUCUCCAUCAGUAUGCCUGUGAUGUAGAAGCUGAGGUCGUUGUGUUUCUCUCCAUCAGUAUGCCUGUGAUGUAGAAGCUGAGGUGGUUGUGUUUCUCCAUCAGUAUGCCUGUGAUGUAGAAGCUGAGGUGGUUGUGUUUCUCUCCAUCAGUAUGCCUGUGAUGUAGAAGCUGAGGUCGUUGUGUUUCUCUCCAUCAGUAUGCCUGUGAUGUAGAAGCUGAGGUCGUUGUGUUUCUCCAUCAGUAUGCCUGUGAUGUAGAAGCUGAGGUGGUUGUGUUUCUCUCCAUCAGUAUGCCUGUGAUGUAGAAGCUGAGGUGGUUGUGUUUCUCUCCAUCAGUAUGCCUGUGAUGUAGAAGCUGAGGUCGUUGUGUUUCUCUCCAUCAGUAGGCCUGUGAUGUAGAAGCUGAGGUCGUUGUGUUUCUCCAUCAGUAUGCCUGUGAUGUAGAAGCUGAGGUGGUUGUGUUUCUCCAUCAGUAUGCCUGUGAUGUAGAAGCUGAGGUGGUUGUGUUUCUCUCCAUCAGUAUGCCUGUGAUGUAGAAGCUGAGGUCGUUGUGUUUCUCUCCAUCAGUAUGCCUGUGAUGUAGAAGCUGAGGUCGUUGUGUUUCUCUCCAUCAGUAUGCCUGUGAUGUAGAAGCUGAGGUCGUUGUGUUUCUCUCCAUCAGUAUGCCUGUGAUGUAGAAGCUGAGGUCGUUGUGUUUCUCUCCAUCAGUAUGCCUGUGAUGUAGAAGCUGAGGUGGUUGUGUUUCUCCAUCAGUAUGCCUGUGAUGUAGAAGCUGAGGUGGUUGUGUUUCUCCAUCAGUAUGCCUGUGAUGUAGAAGCUGAGGUGGUUGUGUUUCUCUCCAUCAGUAUGCCUGUGAUGUAGAAGCUGAGGUGGUUGUGUUUCUCUCCAUCAGUAUGCCUGUGAUGUAGAAGCUGAGGUGGUUGUGUUUCUCUCCAUCAGUAUGCCUGUGAUGUAGAAGCUGAGGUCGUUGUGUUUCUCUCCAUCAGUAGGCCUGUGAUGUAGAAGCUGAGGUGGUUGUGUUUCUCUCCAUCAGUAUGCCUGUGAUGUAGAAGCUGAGGUGGUUGUGUUUCUCUCCAUCAGUAUGCCUGUGAUGUAGAAGCUGAGGUGGUUGUGUUUCUCCAUCAGUAUGCCUGUGAUGUAGAAGCUGAGGUCGUUGUGUUUCUCUCCAUCAGUAUGCCUGUGAUGUAGAAGCUGAGGUGGUUGUGUUUCUCUCCAUCAGUAUGCCUGUGAUGUAGAAGCUGAGGUCAUUGGGAAGCCAGACCCCAUGUUCUUUCAGAAAGUUCUGGAUGACAUGGGGAUUCAGUCACACCAGACUCUGAUGAUUGGAGACGAUCUGGUGAAUGAUGUGGGCGGGGCCCAACACUGUGGAAUGAAGGGUGUCCAAGUGAGGACAGGAAAAUACAGGCCCAGUGAUGAGAAGCACCCCACAGUAACAGCUGAUGGCUAUGUGGACAACCUUGCGGAGGCUGUGGAAACCAUCCUGAAGCUCCGGGGCCAGUGAGGAGAGGACCAGGAAGAACCACCUUCACCACCACAAUACACCACACACACAGUGAUUACUCUAGUACGAUCUGACAACAGGGAGUAACCCACUAACAUAGAGAGCCAUGGAGAGAUAGAGCCAAGAUGGAGGAGAUAGAAGAACACAGUCUUAGAGGAGAUAGAGCCAUGUUGGAGCCAAGAUGGAGGAGAUAGAAGAACACAGUCUUACAGGAGAUAGAGCCAUGUUGGAGCCAAGAUGGAGGAGAUAGAAGAACACAGUCUAAGAGGAGGUAGAGCCAUGUUGGAGCCAAGAUGGAGGAGAUAGAAGAACACAGUAUUAGAGGAGAUAGAGCCAUGUUGGAGCCAAGAUGGAGGAGAUAGAAGUUAAUAAGCUCAUGGUCAGAAGGCAGCUAGUUAGGUAAGUUAAUAACCUCAUGGUCAGAGGGCAGCUAGUUAGGUAAGUUAAUAACCUCAUGGUCAGAGGGCAGCUAGUUAGGUAAGUUAAUAACCUCUUGUUCAGAGGGCAGCUAGUUAGGUAAGUUAAUAACCUCAUGGUCAGAGGGCAGCUAGUUAGGUAAGUUAAUAACCUCUUGGUCAGAGGGCAGCUAGUUAGGUAAGUUAAUAACCUCAUGGUCAGAGGGCAGCUAGUUAGGUAAGUUAAUAACCUCAUGGUCAGAGGGCAACUAGUUAGGUAAGUUAAUAACCUCUUGGUCAGAGGGCAACUAGUUAGGUAAGUUAAUAACCUCUUGUUCAGAGGGCAGCUAGUUAGGUAAGUUAAUAACCUCAUGGUCAGAGGGCAACUAGUUAGGUAAGUUAAUGACCUCAUGGUCAGAGGGCAACUAGUUAGGUAAGUUUAUGACCUCAUGGUCAGAGGGCAACUAGUUAGGUAAGUUAAUGACCUCAUGGUCAGAGGGCAACUAGUUAGGUAAGUUAAUGACCUCAUGGUCAGAGG